AUUGAACGCUGGCGGAAUGCUUUACACAUGCAAGUCGAACGGCAGCACGGGGCAACCUGGUGGCGAGUGGCGAACGGGUGAGUAAUACAUCGGAACGUGCCCAAUCGGUGGGGGAUAACGUAGCGAAAGUUACGCUAAUACCGCAUAUUCUGUGAGCAGGAAAGCAGGGGAUCGCAAGACCUUGCGCUGAUUGAGCGGCCGAUAUCAGAUUAGCUAGUUGGUGAGGUAAAGGCUCACCAAGGCGACGAUCUGUAGCGGGUCUGAGAGGAUGAUCCGCCACACUGGAACUGAGACACGGUCCAGACUCCUACGGGAGGCAGCAGUGGGGAAUUUUGGACAAUGGGGGCAACCCUGAUCCAGCCAUGCCGCGUGAGUGAAGAAGGCCUUCGGGUUGUAAAGCUCUUUCGGCCGGGAAGAAAUCGUAUGGGUUAAUACCCUGUGCGGAUGACGGUACCGGCAUAAGAAGCACCGGCUAACUACGUG
Molecule: ribosomal RNA, 483 nt
Filed under: uncultured bacterium
Lineage: Bacteria
Description: bacterial SSU rRNA
Rfam family: Bacterial small subunit ribosomal RNA
Source: RNAcentral